GGGAUGAAGGCUGGACUCUCCCAGCUUCCCCUCCUGCCCAGAGAGUUGGGGUUUCUGUGACUCCCACCCUCCCAGUGUAAACAGCUUUCCCCAUGUUCCAUCCCUGCCUCUGCCAGGCACAGCAACCACAUAACCAUGGCAACAGUAUCCCUAUAACAGCCAGGUACAUCUGACAUCCCCAUGGCAACCAGCUCCCGGAACAGCCGAUGAAGAGCUUUGCUUCCUCAGCGCUGGAGAGGGAUGGGAGGGAUUCGAGCCAUCCCCGCUCAGGUGGUGGCAGGGACCUGGGGACAGACACGGCUGGCUAGAGUUUUUGGCUCGUGCGUGGGGCAGCAUAAGUCUCUACAGCCUCUGUCCUGACAGGGUAGGAUCUGUGAGUCCUGCAAGCUCCUUCUGUUAGGACAAAGAAGCCAAGUGUUUCUAUCCCCAAAGCUGACAUCUACGGCCCACAGAGGGGUGAUGCUGAAGGAGCAGCCUUGGCACAUCCUGGCUGGUGAGCAGAGGAAGGGCUGGGAUUGCAAGGACAAAGUCUACGAGCACGAAAUGCAGCUGCACUUGCUGUCAACUGCUAAAACACAAGGCUCUGCAUUUUGAAGAGGAAUGUUUUUGGCUAAAAUUAAAUGGGCUUGGAACAAGUGCAAUCCAGAGGCUCCUGGCUCAGCAGGAAGGGAGUUUUCAGGCAAAUCACAAGAGAAAAAUUAACAUUUGAGGAGGGUGAAGUCUGUGCAGAAUCUCCCUGAGCCGCAGCCGUGCACAGCACAGGAGGAUCCACUUCAAAGGGAGGAGCCACUUCAUUAAAAAAGAGAACUAGGGCUUUUGAUAUCAAGAUAAACAUCCUGAUACACAUCAAAGCAGCUUCCUCUCCUUGUCCUUAGACACCCUCUCCUGCUUCACUUAAGUUCUGGAUUUUGGAACUAUACCUCUGCCUAAUCCAUGCUGUGCUGCAUCCCAUCUGCAUGGUUGUUUGGUGGGGGAGAUUCCGGGUGCUGUUUUGUGGUGUGUGAGACCUUCAGGUCAUGUCCAUGAGCCUGAACACUCUGUCAUUGCCUUCUGUUCCACAUAUGAAGAACUAAGAGCUGCUGAUGAAAGUUAUUCUAUUUCCAUUGAAAAACAUCAUGUUUUCAAAAGAAAGUGCAAUAGAGAAGGGGCCAAAGGCCAGCUGGGUUGCCUGAGAACCCAGUGGCAUCCAUCCCUCCGGACACCCUCCCCGAGUGGCUGCAGACCCAUCUCUGGCAGCAGGUUGGGCA
Long non-coding RNA from Passer domesticus (house sparrow), 1247 nucleotides. RefSeq lists it as uncharacterized. The record is from RefSeq and is a predicted model, not a curated record. The transcript has 4 exons. NCBI's taxonomy places the organism in Eukaryota, Metazoa, Chordata, Aves, Passeriformes, Passeridae.